Molecule: non-coding RNA, 78 nt
Filed under: Burkholderia sp. OK233
Lineage: Bacteria; Pseudomonadati; Pseudomonadota; Betaproteobacteria; Burkholderiales; Burkholderiaceae
Source: RNAcentral
CUGAACAACUCGCAAGGGUUGUUGAUCGCCGUGCAGGAGUCAGCAGCGGGCAUAGUAGGGCGGUGACGUCUGAAGGCC